RNAcentral lists this unclassified non-coding RNA (347 nucleotides) under soil metagenome. RNAcentral's name for it is "partial contains 5.8S ribosomal RNA, internal transcribed spacer 2, and large subunit ribosomal RNA". The stretch from base 1 to 120 matches the Rfam family "5.8S ribosomal RNA", at positions 35 to 154 of the family's 154-position model. The record is from RNAcentral.
GAUGAAGAACGCAGCGAAAUGCGAAAAGUAGUGUGAAUUGCAGAAUUCAGUGAAUCAUCGAGUCUUUGAACGCACAUUGCGCCCCCUGGUAUUCCGGGGGGCAUGCCUGUCCGAGCGUCAUUGCUGCCCUCAAGCACGGCUUGUGUGUUGGGCCGUCGUCCCCCUCCUAGGGGACGGGCCCGAAAGGCAGCGGCGGCACCGCGUCCGGUCCUCGAGCGUAUGGGGCUUCGUCACCCGCUCCGUAGGCCCGGCCGGCGCUUGCCGACGACCAUCAAUCUCUUUCUCCAGGUUGACCUCGGAUCAGGUAGGGAUACCCGCUGAACUUAAGCAUAUCAAUAAGCGGAGGA